CAGCCGCUGAAAAUAUGCCUUAUGUGUAUGACUUACCGGAUGCCUCUGCUUUGAUAUUCCACAGACAUCUCAAACCUCAGAAUAGGUGCCUUGGGAGAUGGUCUUCAUUAAUCCCGACGGGCCCUGGUAUCACGAAGUAGUCCAGAGGCCACUCGGAAACAGACUCAGAUGAUGUAGCCUUCACUGGAAUAUUCUUGCUGGCACUUGCAGAGGAAAUCCCAUUGGUUCAGCAGAUGGCUAAUGGUAAUUGAAGUUAACUCUUUGGAGAACAAUUAGAGAUUUGCAAAAGGAUUGUAGUAAAAUUGCUUGGGGCCCUAUCAUUGCCCAUCUGCUGAUUUUGAGAACACAUAAUUCGUGUCUCUCAGAUCCAGACACAAACUCAAAGUUGAGGCAUCCUGUAAAUGGCUUUCUCUGGACCAACUUUGCCUUCUGGGGAUUUGUAAUGGUUCUAAAAAUAGUGACCUGACACACUUUAGCUCUAAUUUUUGCAACAGCAUUGCAAGUAGUUGUUACUCUUAUUUUACAAAUAAGAAAACUGACGCCAAGCAAAAUCAGAUAUCAAGUCUUGAAGAUUAUACAACUGCCUCAUACCGGUCAGGAUUCAAACCCACAGCUACCCAACUUCCAAGCCUGAGCUGCUCCUCCAGCACGACUCUAUUCUACUUUUGAAGAAAUGCAGAGUCAGGUUUGAGAGCAAAAUUUUCAUUUGUUAUUUUUCCUGCAGUUUCCAAGAGUGUGCUUAAAAUUCUACCAAGUGACAUAAGGUUAUGACACUCAUCCUUAGUUUUGUUUGCUAUCUCAACAGGAUUCUGUGUGCUUUGAGUCUAAAUAUAAAAUUAGUUCUGUCUGUGACAGGAAAGCCAUCAACUGGACAGUAUAUUAGUUUGUUCCCACACUGCCAAAAAAGACAUACCUGAGACUGGGCAAUCUAUUAAAAAAUGAGGUUCAAUUGACUCACAGUUCCAUAUAGCUGGAGAGGCCUUGCACUCCAUGGUGGAAGGUAAAUGAGGAGCAAAGUGAUGUCUUAUGUGGUGGCAGGCAAAGAAGUGUGCACAGGGGAGCUCUCCUUUAUGAAACCAUCAGAUCUCAUGAGACUUAUUCACUAUCAUGAGAACAGAACAGGAAAGACCUGCCCCCAUGAUUCGAUUACCUCCUAUCAGGACCCUCCCACACAUGGGGGAAUUGUGGAAGCUACCAUUCAAGAUGAGAUUUGGGUGGGGACACAGCUGAACCAUAUUAUUCCACUCUUGACUCCUCCAAAAUCUGUGCCCUCGUAUUUCAAAACCAAUUGUGCCUUCCCAACACUACCCCAAAUUUUUAAUACAUUUCAACAUUAACUCAAAAGCCCUCAGUCCAGUCUCAUCUGAGACAAGGCAAGUCCCUUGUGCCUAUGAGCCUGUAAAAUCAAAACCAAUUUAGUUACUUCCUUGAUACAAUGGGGGCACAGGCAUUUGGUAAAUACACCUAUUCCAAAUGGGUGAAAUUGGCCAAAAUGAAGGGGCUACAGGCCCCCUGCAAGUCCAAAUUUCAGUGAGGCAGUCAAAUCUUAAAUCUCCAAAAUGAUCUCCUUUAACUCCAUGUCUCAUAUCCAGGUCAUGCUGAUGCAAGAGGUGUGUUCUCAUAAGCUGGGUCAGCUCUGUCCUUGUGACUUUGUAGGGUAUAGUCCCCCUCCUGGCUGAUUUUGGUGGGCUGGCCUUGAGUAUCUGAGCCUUUUCCAGGUGCAUGGCACAAAACUUUGGCAGAUCCACAUUCUGGGGUCUGCAGGAUGGCAGCCCUCCUCCCACGUCUCCACUAGGCAGUGUCCCAGUGGGUACUCUGUAUGGGGGCUACAACCUCUCAUCUUCCUCCAUACUGUCCUAGCAGAGGCUCUCCAAGAGGGCCCUGCCCUGAAGCAAACCUCUGCCUGGACAUCCAGACAUCUGUCCACAUCCUCUGAAAUCCAGGCAGAGGCUCCCAAACCUCAAUUCCUGCCCUCUGUGCACCUGCAGUCCCAACACCACGUGGAAACUGCCAAGGCCCAAGACCUACACUCUCUGAAGCCACUGCCUGAACUGUACCUUGGCACCAUCUAGCUAUGACUGGAGCAGCUGGCACCCUGGGCACCAAGACCAUAGGCUGAAUGCAGCAGGGGGGCCAGGAAACCAUCCUUCCCUCCUAGGCCUCCAGGCCUGUGAUGGAGGGACUGCCAGGAAGUUCUCCAACAUGCCCUGGAGACAUUUUCCCCAUUAUUUUGGUGAUUCACAUUGGUCUCCUGGUUAUGCAAAUUUCUGCAGCAGUCUUGAAUUUCUCCCCAGAAAAUGGGUUUUUCUUUUCUAUUGCAUGGUCAGACUGCAAAUUUUCCAAACUUUAAUGCUCCAUUUCCUUUUGAACAUUUUGCUACCUAGAAAUUUUUUCCACCAAAUACCUCAAAUCAUCUCUCUCAAGUUCAAAGUUUCACAUAUAUCUAAAGCAGAGCCUAAAAGCUGCCAGUCUCUUUUAUAAUACACAGCAAGUGUCACCUUUGCUCUGGUUCCCAACAAGUUCCUUAUCUCUUUCUGAGACCACAUCAAACUGGACUUCAUUGUCCACAUUUCUAUCAGCAUUUUGGUCAAAGCAUUUAACAAGUCUCUAGGAAGUUUCAAAUGUUCCUACAUCUUCCUCUCCUCUGAGCCCUCCAAGUCUCUAGGAAGUUCCCAACUUUCUCACAUUUUCCUAUCUUCUGAGCCCUGCAAAGUGUUCCAAACUCUACCUAUCACCCAGUUCCAAAGUUGUUUCCACAUUCUUAGGUGCUCUUUAUAGCAGCACCCACUCUACUGUACCAAUGCACUGUAUUAGUCUGUUCCCAUGCUGCCAACAAAGACAAACCUCAAACUGGGCAAUCUAUAAAGGAAAGAGGUUCAAUUGAUUCACAGUUCUGCAUAGCUGGGGAGGCCUCACAAUCAUGGCAGAAGGUGAACUAGGAGCAAAGUAAUAUCGUACAUGGCAGCAGGCAAGAGAGCAUGUUCGGGGUACUCCCCUAUAUAAAACCAUCAGAUCUUGUGAGAUGUAUUCACUACCAUGAGAACAGACAGAAAAGACCUGCCCCCAUGAUUCAAUUACCUCCCAGUGGGUCCCUCACAUGACAGGUGGGAAUUAUGGCAGUUACAAUUCAAAAUGAGAUUUGGGUGUGGACACAGCCAAACCAUGUGAAGCAGUUAUUCAGAAAGUGUGAUUAAUUACUGGUUUUAAGUAACAAAAGGAUGGUUUCAGUCUUAAAUUAUUUUGAAUUAUUAUUUUUGCUCAAACCUUCAUAGUUGAUUGUUGCAUAUCUUCUUUCUGUUCUUACUUUCUCCAGCAAGAAUUUGUUUGGUACCAGCUCUAUGCAAUACACUGUGAUAGACACACCAGAUAUAGAAGUGAGAAAUAUGUUUCCCAUGUUGGUUAGCAAAGAAGAUGGACAAAUAAACCCAUAAAGUAAACACACAAAAAUGUUUUCUCAAGGAAGGAGAAUUCUUGAAGGAAGUGGUACUUCAGUUGAAACGUGAAAGAUGAGUAAGGGUUAGUCACGUAGAGAAGGGGAGAAGAGAGUAUCCAGUGUAAACAGAAGAGCAUGUGCAAAGCACAGAGACAUGAGAGAGCAGGUAGGCAUAGCUGGAAAGCAAGACGGAUGUAAAAAAAAAAUCAGAACCUUGCAGAGACUAGGUUGUAGAAAGUUCUGUAGACUGAGUUUAGCUGUUUUAACUUUAACCUGAAAGUCACAGGAAAAUAUUAAAGAUGUUUAAAAAAGAAGAAUCAAAGAGAUUUUCAUUUUAUUAACAAACUAUCACUUUGGCAGCAGGUGUGGAAAAUGAUCAGAGGGGCCAAGACCAGAAGCAAGACACCUGUUACUGAGGCAAUGCAGAUGGGAAGACCCAGAUGUAGACCAUGGCAGUAAAGAUGGAGGGGCAGAAUUGAGAAAUACUUGUAGAACUAAUGGAACUUACCUAGAAAGGAGAUUAACUCAAUCCUUUAUUUUUCUUCCUUUUUUCAAAGUUUUUAAAAGGCUAUGACUAUCUUUUCCCCAUUUCCUCCAUACUUAGUAUGACAUUCAGCUAAUUUUGCUUGAAUACCUAUGUCUUAUUCUUUACGAACACCACCAAGCAGCAGCACCUCCCUACCUCCACAACAAGCAGCAAGUGUUUAUGGAGCACCUCUUACUAAAUCGUACUUUGUCCAGUUUUGCGACAAAUGUACAUUCCUCUCUGCUUUGCUUUUGCACUGUCCUGUAUUUUUCAUGGUUCUGUGGUUUCUGGUUUAGUGUGUAUUUUCUUUUGCUCUUCCAGGACCAUAGGAUUUCAGAGCUUAUUAUUUAAGUUCCCAGGUUUUUUAUAUGUACUCGGAAUAUUAUUUCUUACUACUUUCUCAAAGUAAAGCUCCACAAAUAUUUCUUACAUAAUUCCAAUGUAUCUAAAGAGAUUUAGCAUUUGAGUUUUAAGUUAAAUCAAUAAACUGAUUAAAGCCAUAAUUAGCAAUCACUAACUUUUAUACAGAAAUAA
Molecule: non-coding RNA, 4493 nt
Organism: Callithrix jacchus (white-tufted-ear marmoset)
Lineage: Eukaryota; Metazoa; Chordata; Mammalia; Primates; Cebidae
Source: RefSeq, a predicted model, not a curated record